AGCGAACGCUGGCGGCGUGCUUAACACAUGCAAGUCGAGCGAGAAAGGGGGCUUCGGCCCCUGAGUACAGCGGCGAACGGGUGCGUAAUGCAUGAGCAAUCUACCCUUGAGGCGGGAAUAACCCAGCGAAAGUUGGGCUAAUACCGGAUAAGACCACAAGAGGAGACCCUAGAGGCUAAAGGCAGCUCUCUUUUGGGGGGCGGCCCUUUGAGGAGGAGCUCAUGUCCUAUCAGCUAGUUGGUAGGGUACGCUCCAAGCGAAGACGGGUAGCUGGUCUUAGAGGAUGAUCAGCCACACGGGGACUGAGACACGG
This 313-nucleotide ribosomal RNA is filed under the name uncultured bacterium. RNAcentral's name for it is "bacterial SSU rRNA". It matches the Rfam family "Bacterial small subunit ribosomal RNA", at positions 29 to 329 of the family's 1533-position model. The record is from RNAcentral.